RNAcentral lists this ribosomal RNA (429 nucleotides) under Chloroflexota bacterium. RNAcentral describes it as "Chloroflexi bacterium partial 16S ribosomal RNA". It matches the Rfam family "Bacterial small subunit ribosomal RNA", at positions 355 to 776 of the family's 1533-position model. The record is from RNAcentral. Lineage: Bacteria; Bacillati; Chloroflexota.
UGGGGAAUAUUGCACAAUGGGCGCAAGCCUGAUGCAGCCAUGCCGCGUGUAUGAAGAAGGCCUUCGGGUUGUAAAGUACUUUCAGCGGGGAGGAAGGGAGUAAAGUUAAUACCUUUGCUCAUUGACGUUACCCGCAGAAGAAGCACCGGCUAACUCCGUGCCAGCAGCCGCGGUAAUACGGAGGGUGCAAGCGUUAAUCGGAAUUACUGGGCGUAAAGCGCACGCAGGCGGUCUGUCAAGUCGGAUGUGAAAUCCCCGGGCUCAACCUGGGAACUGCAUUCGAAACUGGCAGGCUAGAGUCUUGUAGAGGGGGGUAGAAUUCCAGGUGUAGCGGUGAAAUGCGUAGAGAUCUGGAGGAAUACCGGUGGCGAAGGCGGCCCCCUGGACAAAGACUGACGCACAGGUGCGAAAGCGUGGGGAGCAAACAGG